AUUUAUAUAGUAUAAAAAUUAUUUUUAACUUCCAAUUAAAAGAUCUACUUAUUUAGUAUAAAUA
Molecule: transfer RNA, 64 nt
Filed under: Nosodendron sp. BMNH 840466
Lineage: Eukaryota; Metazoa; Arthropoda; Insecta; Coleoptera; Nosodendridae
Description: tRNA-Gly
Source: RNAcentral